GAUGGUUCGAUUAGUCUUUCGCCCCUAUACCCAGUUCAUACGAUCGAUUUGCACGUCAGAAUCGCUACGGACCUCCAUCAGGGUUUCCCCUGACUUCAUCCUGACCAGGCAUAGUUCACCAUCUUUCGGGUCCCAGCGUGUACGCUCUUGGUGCGCCGCAACUUGCAAUAAGUACGCGACGCCCCGGGAAUGCGAGGUAACAUAAAUAACGUUACCCAUCUUCCCUUUAUAAUAAUAAAUAAUUUAUAUUAUAUAUAUUCACUUUCAUUACGCCUUUAGGUUUAUUAUAAAUACCCAAUGACUUGCGCACAUGCUAGAUG
RNAcentral lists this ribosomal RNA (320 nucleotides) under Blackburnia limbata. RNAcentral describes it as "partial 28S ribosomal RNA". The record is from RNAcentral. Lineage: Eukaryota; Metazoa; Arthropoda; Insecta; Coleoptera; Carabidae.